AGGACGAACGCUGGCGGCGUGCUUAACACAUGCAAGUGGAGCGACGAACCAGGCUUGCCUGGGGCAAAGCCGCGAACGGGUGAGUAACACGUGGGUAAUCUGCCCCGAUGACCGGGACAACCCGAGGAAACUCGGGCUAAUACCGGAUGUGGUGAACACACACAAGUGUGUUCACUAAAGGAAGCUUCGGCCUCCGCAUCGGGAGGGGCCCGCGGCCCAUUAGCUAGUUGGUGGGGUCAAGGCCUACCAAGGCAACGAUGGGUAGCUGGUCUGAGAGGACGAUCAGCCACACUGGGACUGAGACACGGCCCAGACUCCUACGGGAGGCAGCAGUGGGAAUCUUGCGCAAUGCGACGAAGCGUGACGCAGCAACGCCGCGUGAGGAAGACGGCCUUCGGUGUAACCGUCUUUCGAGGUAGGAACGAACGGUCCGCCGGUGAUAGCCGUGCGGAUGACGUACCUCAGAAGAGCUCCGCUACUACGUG
RNAcentral lists this ribosomal RNA (485 nucleotides) under uncultured soil bacterium. Its description in RNAcentral is "bacterial SSU rRNA". It matches the Rfam family "Bacterial small subunit ribosomal RNA", at positions 26 to 507 of the family's 1533-position model. The record is from RNAcentral.